RNAcentral lists this unclassified non-coding RNA (329 nucleotides) under soil metagenome. RNAcentral's name for it is "partial contains 5.8S ribosomal RNA, internal transcribed spacer 2, and large subunit ribosomal RNA". The stretch from base 1 to 120 matches the Rfam family "5.8S ribosomal RNA", at positions 35 to 154 of the family's 154-position model. The record is from RNAcentral.
GAUGAAGAACGUAGCGAAAUGCGAUAAGUAAUGUGAAUUGCAGAAUUCAGUGAAUCAUCGAAUCUUUGAACGCACAUUGCGCCCCUUGGUAUUCCGAGGGGCAUGCCUGUUCGAGCAUCAUUAUAACCCCUCAAGCUCAGCUUGGUGUUGGGGCCUGCUGCACUGGCAGCCCUUAAAAUCAGUGGCGGCGCCAUCUGGCUCUAAGCGUAGUAAUUCUUCUCGCUAUGGAGUCCUGGUGGAUGCUUGCCAUCAACCCCCAAUUUUUCUAUGGUUGACCUCGGAUCAGGUAGGGAUACCCGCUGAACUUAAGCAUAUCAAUAAGCGGAGGA